AGCUUUGCGCAGUGACAAUAUCGUAGCCAAUGAGGUUUAUCCGAGGCACAAUUAUUGCUAAUUGAAAUUACGAUUUUCCUACUUUAUGAUUGUUUAGUACUGGUAGAUCCUUCAUUAUCGAACUCAGACAUCCUUAUUAUCAGUCUAGUGAUUUUUGCUGCUGUUCUGU
This 169-nucleotide small nuclear RNA is filed under the name Chlorocebus sabaeus (green monkey). RNAcentral's name for it is "U4 spliceosomal RNA". The stretch from base 1 to 122 matches the Rfam family "U4 spliceosomal RNA". Rfam says of the family: U4 small nuclear RNA (U4 snRNA) is a component of the major U2-dependent spliceosome. Lineage: Eukaryota; Metazoa; Chordata; Mammalia; Primates; Cercopithecidae. The record is from Rfam by way of RNAcentral.